CAAUUUUAAGACAGAGUUGAAGUGGAUGAAUAUCAUACAUCUUUUUCUUUUACAUGGGGGUUGUCUGUAUUCGUUGUUUAAUUUUAGUUGGUCUGAAAAUUGGAAGACAACCGUUUGGAUAUUUAUCGUGGGUACAUUACAAGCAAUCGGUAUAAACGGUGGUAUUCAUCGUUUUUGGACUCACCGAGCUUAUAAAGCGAAGUGGCAGCUCAGAGUUAUAUUACUUAUUUUCUACUGCAUAGCUGGCCAGAAUAAUCCUUUUGAGUGGGUGCGAGAUCAUCGAG
Molecule: non-coding RNA, 284 nt
Organism: Linepithema humile (Argentine ant)
Lineage: Eukaryota; Metazoa; Arthropoda; Insecta; Hymenoptera; Formicidae
Source: RefSeq, a predicted model, not a curated record